CCCCCCCCCCCCGGCUCGGCCACAGCAGCAUCAGUUGGGGUUUCCGAAGGUCAGAAAAUGGCUAUUGAUUAAUCUAUCAGAAUAGUUGCAGAGAGAAAUAAAAAGGACGUAAAAUAACAGAGAACCUAUAAAUAAACCCGCAACUAGCUGCUCGGAGUUGUUUAAACGACUUAGCAUGUGAAAAAGUCGGAAAUGAGGCGCUGGGGAAGGAGCCGGCAUUGGCAGCGGCCUGGGAUAUAGACAAACCCUCCAAGAUUUUAGUUCCUCAGAGACCGGCAACAGAGGAGGUGGAGGAGGAGGCGAGGAUAUGGCCAGUGCACACCGAGUUUCUUUGGCAAGGAAAGUCAGUGAUGGCAGCCUCCUUGCGAGCCGCGAGUGCCUGCCGGGUGUUAAGGGCUCCUGGAACCUAAGCCCAGUCUGGCCACCGAGGCCUGAGAAGGGAGUGCAGGCCUUACCAGAGGAAGGAGCACAAGGGGAGAUAGUCUGAGAAGAAAUAGUGAAAUUCAGUAUUUACAGAAGACACUAAGAAACUGGAUGUAUUUCCUGGAGGACAGUAGUACUUAUGAUUCCCUGUCUGUGUCUCUCUCAUCUACCACCUCUCUCAUUCCUUAGCCUGGACACAUACGUAAACUUGCUUCACUUAUAGGCAGUGCGACACACAGAUUGACUUCAACUUUCAUUAGAUAAUUUCCCGGAUAAAACACUAGCACAUUGGAUCCCCCACUUCGCAGGAUGUUUCUGGUUGAAGCCGGGGCAGUUCCUCCAUCUUGAGACGCCCAGGAAACUCCACGAUUUUUCUGUAUCUAAAUGAUACCCCGGUUGCACUUGACCCUAAAAUGCAUCUGAGUUCAUUCCCGCAGCUGCACCGCUUUGUGGCCCGCAGGCUCCGAACCGUUUACAAUACCUUUUAGACAGCUUCCCGCAAAACCGACUGCAGCGGCGAACUGGCUGCCCGCUGUCCCUCGGCAGCGGAGGUCCCGGGUGAAACUGUCUUAGUAACCCAAUAAUUACAAAAAGAACGUCGGAGGGGCACUUAAAAGAAACUGAAUCCACAAAU
Non-coding RNA from Odocoileus virginianus texanus, 1057 nucleotides. The record is from RefSeq and is a predicted model, not a curated record. Lineage: Eukaryota; Metazoa; Chordata; Mammalia; Artiodactyla; Cervidae.